Long non-coding RNA from Neltuma alba, 532 nucleotides. RefSeq lists it as uncharacterized. NCBI's taxonomy places the organism in Eukaryota, Viridiplantae, Streptophyta, Magnoliopsida, Fabales, Fabaceae. The transcript is spliced from 3 exons. The record is from RefSeq and is a predicted model, not a curated record.
GCCAUGGUUUGGCUACGGAGUUUUGUGUUGAUGGGCAAGGCUAGCUUCUUGAGGUCUCUAUAUAAAGACUAAGGAGGUUGGUCUUUGCUCAUUCAAAGGGUGAUGAAACAAAAGUUAUAAAAUCUAUACACGGUUGCUCUUGGGAUCGGCCAAGCAAACUUCCAAGAACAAUCCAACUUGUAUAAAUAUAAAGAAACUUCAUUUCAUUAUCUUGCUUCGAUGUAGCUUGACCAGGAUCUCCUUAGAGCUGCAUUGAAUUGUACGUGCCACCGUCCUGCUGCUUGAAGAUGAAGAGGAAGAUGAACAAAUCUUUACAUAAAAAUGUGUUUCAUUUUUUUUUUUUCAAAAGAAAGGGAAAAGAAAAAGAGGGGCGGGGGGGUAAGGAGUGGGUUAAAAAGGAUAGAAAAAGCUUGCGGAAUCAGAAGAGUUUUCGGAGCAUGAAUUUAAAGUCAGGUUAUAUUUCAAAAAUUUAUAAGCUACAUCAAUGUUGUUACCAAAAACCAAAAAAAUAUUAAUGCUAGAUGUGAGAUUU